RNAcentral lists this long non-coding RNA (290 nucleotides) under Volvox carteri. RNAcentral describes it as "long non-coding RNA (VCAR_LNC000893)". Lineage: Eukaryota; Viridiplantae; Chlorophyta; Chlorophyceae; Chlamydomonadales; Volvocaceae. The record is from RNAcentral.
GCCGCAUGAACUGGCCGCCUUGGCUGCCGAGUGGUCGCAGGAGCUCUCCGAUUAUCCCGCUGACACGGCGCCCCUGGCGGCGGCGGCGGCGCCGCCGCCGCCACCGUCGCUGCCAGCGUCACAGCCUGGUCCCCUGCCUUUCCAGGGAGGGGCAUCGUCAAUGCCGCUGCCGCCAACUUCGGUAGCGGCGGCCGCAGCGGCCUCGGGUGUACCGCACCUACUUGUGCCGCCGCCGCCGGCGCAGCGGCUGUCCUUCCCUGGCGCAGCCGCAAUCCGUGAGUCUGUCCCGC